CCUACGGGAGGCAGCAGUGAGGAAUAUUGGUCAAUGGGCGGAAGCCUGAACCAGCCAAGUAGCGUGCAGGAUGACGGCCCUACGGGUUGUACACUUCUUUUAUACGGGAAUAACGCGCCUUACGUGUAGGGCUUUGCAUGUACCGUAUGAAUAAGGACCGGCUAAUUCCGUGCCAGCAGCCGCGGUAAUACGGAAGGUCCGGGCGUUAUCCGGUUUUAUUUGGUUUAAAGGGAGCGUAGGCCGUGUGCAAAGCGUGCUGGGAAAUACGCGGGCUCAACCCGGGCCGGGCAGGGCGAACUGGCGUGCUUGAGUCCGCGGAAAGCAGACGGAAUUCGUCGUGGAGCGGUGAAAUGCUUAGAUAUGACGAAGAACCCCGAUUGCGAAGGCAGCUUGCUGCAGCGGAACUGACGCUGAUGCUCGAAAGCGCGGGUAUCGAACAGGAUUAGAUACCCUUGUAGUC
This 460-nucleotide ribosomal RNA is filed under the name uncultured bacterium. RNAcentral's name for it is "partial 16S ribosomal RNA". It matches the Rfam family "Bacterial small subunit ribosomal RNA", at positions 338 to 795 of the family's 1533-position model. The record is from RNAcentral.